Molecule: ribosomal RNA, 254 nt
Filed under: uncultured bacterium
Lineage: Bacteria
Description: partial 16S ribosomal RNA
Rfam family: Bacterial small subunit ribosomal RNA
Source: RNAcentral
UACGGAGGAGGCAAGCGUUAUCCGGAAUUAUUGGGCGUAAAGCGUCCGCAGGUGGCACCUCAAGUCUGCUGUCAAAGACCGGGGCUUAACCCCAGAAAGGCAGUGGAAACUGAAGUGCUAGAGUGCAGUAGGGGUAGAGGGAAUUCCCGGUGUAGCGGUGAAAUGCGUAGAGAUCGGGAAGAACAUCGGUGGCGAAGGCGGCUGCUCUGGGACGGUACUGACACUGAGGAGCGAAAGCGUGGGGAGCGAACAGG